RNAcentral lists this ribosomal RNA (406 nucleotides) under uncultured bacterium. Its description in RNAcentral is "partial 16S ribosomal RNA". It matches the Rfam family "Bacterial small subunit ribosomal RNA", at positions 30 to 526 of the family's 1533-position model. The record is from RNAcentral.
AUUGAACGCUGGCGGCAGGCCUAACACAUGCAAGUCGAACGAGUGGCGGACGGGUGAGUAAUGUCUGGGAAACUGCCCGAUGGAGGGGGAUAACUACUGGAAACGGUAGCUAAUACCGCAUACCAUCGGAUGUGCCCAGAUGGGAUUAGCUAGUAGGUGGGGUAAAGGCUCACCUAGGCGACGAUCCCUAGCUGGUCUGAGAGGAUGACCCGCCACACGUGGACUGAGAGACGGUCCAGACUCCUACGGGAGGCAGCAGUGGGGAAUAUUGCACAAUGUGCGCAGGCCUGAUGGAGCCAUGCCGCGUGUAUGAAGAAGGCCUUCGGGUUGUAAAGUACUUUCAGCGGUGAGGCGUUUCCCGCUGAAGAAGCACCGGCUAACUCCGUGCCAGCAGCCGCGGUAAUUC